CACGUGGGUAACCUGCCUGUAAGACUGGGAUAACUCCGGGAAACCGGAGCUAAUACCGGAUAGUUCCUUGAACCGCAUGGUUCAAGGAUGAAAGACGGUUUCGGCUGUCACUUACAGAUGGACCCGCGGCGCAUUAGCUAGUUGGUGGGGUAAUGGCUCACCAAGGCGACGAUGCGUAGCCGACCUGAGAGGGUGAUCGGCCACACUGGGACUGAGACACGGCCCAGACUCCUACGGGAGGCAGCAGUAGGGAAUCUUCCGCAAUGGACGAAAGUCUGACGGAGCAACGCCGCGUGAGUGAUGAAGGUUUUCGGAUCGUAAAGCUCUGUUGUUAGGGAAGAACAAGUGCGAGAGUAACUGCUCGCACCUUGACGGUACCUAACCAGAAAGCCACGGCUAACUACGUGCCAGCAGCCGCGGUAAUACGUAGGUGGCAAGCGUUGUCCGGAAUUAUUGGGCGUAAAGGGCUCGCAGGCGGUUUCUUAAGUCUGAUGUGAAAGCCCCCGGCUCAACCGGGGAGGGUCAUUGGAAACUGGGAAACUUGAGUGCAGAAGAGGAGAGUGGAAUUCCACGUGUAGCGGUGAAAUGCGUAGAGAUGUGGAGGAACACCAGUGGCGAAGGCGACUCUCUGGUCUGUAACUGACGCUGAGGAGCGAAAGCGUGGGGAGCGAACAGGAUUAGAUACCCUGGUAGUCCACGCCGUAAACGAUGAGUGCUAAGUGUUAGGGGGUUUCCGCCCCUUAGUGCUGCAGCUAACGCAUUAAGCACUCCGCCUGGGGAGUACGGUCGCAAGACUGAAACUCAAAGGAAUUGACGGGGGCCCGCACAAGCGGUGGAGCAUGUGGUUUAAUUCGAAGCAACGCGAAGAACCUUACCAGGUCUUGACAUCCUCUGACAACCCUAGAGAUAGGGCUUUCCCUUCGGGGACAGAGUGACAGGUGGUGCAUGGUUGUCGUCAGCUCGUGUCGUGAGAUGUUGGGUUAAGUCCCGCAACGAGCGCAACCCUUGAUCUUAGUUGCCAGCAUUUAGUUGGGCACUCUAAGGUGACUGCCGGUGACAAACCGGAGGAAGGUGGGGAUGACGUCAAAUCAUCAUGCCCCUUAUGACCUGGGCUACACACGUGCUACAAUGGACAGAACAAAGGGCUGCGAGACCGCAAGGUUUAGCCAA
RNAcentral lists this ribosomal RNA (1170 nucleotides) under Bacillus pumilus. RNAcentral describes it as "bacterial SSU rRNA". It matches the Rfam family "Bacterial small subunit ribosomal RNA", at positions 114 to 1271 of the family's 1533-position model. Lineage: Bacteria; Bacillati; Bacillota; Bacilli; Caryophanales; Bacillaceae. The record is from RNAcentral.